AGUAAAAGUCGUAACAAGGUUUCCGUAGGUGAACCUGCGGAAGGAUCAUUAGUGGGGCGGAGCAUAUCGAGUGAGGCCAGUGGGAGGCGUUAGCCGAGCACACGCCGAACGAGAGAUGCGUAGCGGAGCAGUGUGUGGAUUAUAUGGUUUGGUAUGGAGGAUGCUAUGCACCUUCCAGUCAGCCUACGCCCACUGCCUAACCUGCCCUCGCAAGAGGGUGGCUGUAUACAACUCUAGAAUUAACAACUUUAACAAUACAUGACUUUUAACAACGGAUCUCUGGGCUCCCGCAUCGAUGAAGAACGCAGUGAAGUGCGAAACGUAAUGCGAUUUGCAGCAUCUGUGAGUCAUUGAGUCUUUGAACGCACCUGGCACCGAGAGUGAUCUUGGUAUACCCCUUUGAGCGCGGAUUGUAAUAGUUUAUGGAUGGAUGGCACGGAGGGGACUCUGCGCUGAAAGGAGUGUGGGGAGGGUGAUGGUAGAGCCGCAAGGCAGUGCGAAGGCACGCAAUCACCCAGACAGACCCACCAAAUAACGCUUCUCGCCUCAGGGGGGCAGGAUUACCCGCUGAACUUAA
This 577-nucleotide ribosomal RNA is filed under the name uncultured fungus. RNAcentral's name for it is "partial 18S ribosomal RNA". The stretch from base 261 to 409 matches the Rfam family "5.8S ribosomal RNA". The record is from RNAcentral. Lineage: Eukaryota; Fungi.